RNAcentral lists this ribosomal RNA (552 nucleotides) under Triticum aestivum (bread wheat). RNAcentral's name for it is "partial small subunit ribosomal RNA". The record is from RNAcentral. Lineage: Eukaryota; Viridiplantae; Streptophyta; Magnoliopsida; Poales; Poaceae.
AUGAUCAUUCCUUUGUUGGAUCUAGAGAAGGCCACAGACAAUUUUGAUAGAACUCGUGAGGCAGGAGGCGGAGGACACGGUGUUGUGUAUAAAGGAAUUUUAGACCUACAGGUAGUUGCCAUCAACAAAUCCAAGAUCGUCGUACAGAGAGAAAUCGAUGACUUCAUAAACGAGGUUGCAAUUCUUUCUCAAAUCAACCAUAGAAAUGUUGUGAAGCUAAUUGGAUGUUGUCUGGAGACAGAAGUCCUGUCACUGGUUUAUGAGUUGAUUUCAAAUGGUACUCUUGAUCACCAUCUUCAUUUUGAAGGCCCGAUGUUACUAUCAUGGGAUGAUCGAACAAGGAUUGCGCAUGAAGUUGCUAGAGCUCUUUCUUAUCUUCAUUCAUCUGCUUCGAUGCCAAUUUAUCACAGGGAUAUUAAAUCAUCCAACAUACUUAUUGAUGAUAAUUUAACAACAAAGGUAUCAGAUUUUGGAGCUUCGAGAUACAUCCCAAUUGACAAAACAGGGUUGACUACAGCUGUGCAAGGAACAAUAGGCUACUUAGACCGUUAG